Molecule: non-coding RNA, 67 nt
Filed under: unclassified sequences
Source: RNAcentral
AAAGCUCUUAGUGCAUCGAAGCUCUACGUACAUCGUAGAAGGUUUAGGUAGAUACACUAUGGGCUUU